Molecule: long non-coding RNA, 481 nt
Organism: Papilio polytes (common Mormon)
Lineage: Eukaryota; Metazoa; Arthropoda; Insecta; Lepidoptera; Papilionidae
Exons: 7
Source: RefSeq, a predicted model, not a curated record
UGAAUAAUGCAAUGUUUUUAUGUUUUGGUUAAAAUUGGUCGGAAAUGAGAGCCAGUAUUAAGAGCAUUUCAAACCAAUUUGCAUGUACAUUUAAGAAGUGAGAGGUGACAGGACUGAGACACAUCGAUAUCAAGGCAAAGGUCAUCAGCAAAAUACAUUCUGUCCGUACACGGGAGCUCACGGCCGGUGUUACGACCCCAAUCAAAUAACUAAUCGUGAAGCUCCCCAUGUGAAACAUUAUAGAAACGCAAGAUUAUACCGUUUAAAAAAGAAAAAGUUACAGACAAGGGUGCAUCAUCCAUACAAUCCUUACAAACAUUCAUACAAGAAACAUGGACGAAACAAACAGAAUCAACCACCAAUUUACAAUGAACAGCCUCAGACAUCUAAGUUCAUUUUGCUGUUUAAUGAUUACGAACAAUGGUUUGGUAAUUACGAUGAAUUGUAUUUCGUCAACAAAUACCCUGAAGUAUAGUCAAAC